RNAcentral lists this non-coding RNA (161 nucleotides) under Hyphomicrobiaceae bacterium. RNAcentral's name for it is "6S RNA". It matches the Rfam family "6S / SsrS RNA". From Rfam's summary of the family: E. coli 6S RNA was the first non coding RNA to be sequenced, but its function was unknown until recently. It consists of 184 nucleotides that fold into an extended hairpin structure with a large single-stranded internal bulge. Lineage: Bacteria; Pseudomonadati; Pseudomonadota; Alphaproteobacteria; Hyphomicrobiales; Hyphomicrobiaceae. The record is from RNAcentral.
UAUAAGCUGCGUAGUACGCUUGGAGUAAGUUUUCUCUGGGCCUACAUCGUCCUUAACGGGAGCCGUCACUACAGUAGGUUGUGACCUACUAUAAAUGGUGCCCACUUAACUAUUAGAGUUCUAGGGGGACAUUAAACUUCGGCGGCUACUGCGGCAUUUAA